Molecule: ribosomal RNA, 377 nt
Filed under: uncultured eukaryote
Lineage: Eukaryota
Description: partial 18S ribosomal RNA
Rfam family: Eukaryotic small subunit ribosomal RNA
Source: RNAcentral
CAAUAGCGUAUAUUAAAGUUGUUGCAGUUAAAAAGCUCGUAGUUGGAUUUCGGGUGGGAAUGGCCGGUCCGCCGUUUCGGUGUGCACUUGCUACGCCCACCUUGCUGCCGGGGACGUGCUCUUGAGUUCACGCUCGGGACACGGAGUCGGCGAGGUUACUUUGAGUAAAUUAGAGUGUUCAAAGCAGGCCUACGCUCUGAAUACAUUAGCAUGGAAUAACACGAUAGGACUCUGGCCUAUCUUGUUGGUCUGUAGGACCGGAGUAAUGAUUAAGAGGGACAGUUGGGGGCAUUCGUAUUUCAUUGUCAGAGGUGAAAUUCUUGGAUUUAUGAAAGACGAACUACUGCGAAAGCAUUUGCCAAGGAUGUUUUCAUUAA